Molecule: ribosomal RNA, 459 nt
Filed under: uncultured Gammaproteobacteria bacterium
Lineage: Bacteria; Pseudomonadati; Pseudomonadota; Gammaproteobacteria
Description: bacterial SSU rRNA
Rfam family: Bacterial small subunit ribosomal RNA
Source: RNAcentral
GAGUUUGAUCUUGGCUCAGAUUGAACGCUGGCGGCACGCCUAACACAUGCAAGUCGAGCGGUAGCAUGGGUAGUAGCAAUACUGCCUGAUGACGAGCGGCGGACGGGUGAGGAAAGCGCAGGAACCUGCCCUCGAGGCUGGGAUAACCAGGGGAAACCCUGGCUAAUACCGGAUGAACCCGGGAGGGGAAAGCUGCCCGCAAAGGGUGGCGCUCGAGGAGGGGCCUGCGUCCGAUUAGCUGGUUGGUGAGGUAACGGCUCACCAAGGCGAUGGUCGGUAACUGGUCUGAGAGGACGACCAGUCACACUGGGACUGAGACACGGCCCAGACUCUACGGGAGGCAGCAGUGGGGAAUAUUGGACAAUGGGGGCAACCCUGAUCCAGCGAUGCCGCGUGAGUGAAGAAGGCCUCGGGUCGUAAAAGCUCUUUAGGCCGGGAAGAAGGGAGAUGGAGGAAAUG